Molecule: long non-coding RNA, 1223 nt
Filed under: Polistes dominula (European paper wasp)
Lineage: Eukaryota; Metazoa; Arthropoda; Insecta; Hymenoptera; Vespidae
Description: uncharacterized LOC107071210, transcript variant X3
Source: RNAcentral
CGCCAUCUGAAGGAAAGAUCACGCAUCAUUCCGCUAGAACAAAAUCAACAUGGCUACCUGUCAAUACAAUUUGAAUGCAAAUGCAGACUAUAUGCAGUUUAUCACCAAUUCAAGAUGAAAAUAGUUCAAUUGGAUGACUUGCUGUGCGAUACUGUUCUGCCAUAACCUAACAAAGAUAAUAUUUUAAAUAAAAUCCGAAAAUACAGAUGACUUCCAAAUGUUUUCUUUAUUCAAGUUAUUACUACAAAUACUAAUAAGUAUGCAGCUCUACAUUUUUAAUUCUAAACUAAGAAAAUUAUGCACAGGAGAAGAAGUGUCCAUUACACCAUGGGAUCAAUGGAGAUAUAUUUAAUUUUCUUAUGGUUAACGAUUAGAAGAUUUGCAUUGAUUGUGUCAUCCUAACAAGAGUUUUAUUCUAUAAUAUUAUGUAAAUAGAAUGCAGUUACAGUGACAAUGAAUAAUCAAGACAAGAAUCUGUCAAAAGGUGAGUUCAAUAAUUUGACUGGAAGUGUCUACUCAUUACUAUCAAGAAUGAUAAGAAGAAUCCCACAAUACUGCAACCAUCAAAGAUUUUUGAAGAUACUGCCUUCAUUAUAUUUACAAUUGGAAAAAACCANACUCAGUUCUAUUCUAUCAAUAGAAUUGCAGAAGAAAUGCAUCCUAGUUAUCACAAAUUAAGAAAACAAAUGGCAAAUACAUUAUAGUAGGAAAUUGUAUUCUUGAACAAAAUAUUUGACCAAGUUUUGUACAUGAGAUUCCAUGUGAAUUAUUAUGCAAAUAGAAUACAGCUGCAGUGUCAUGAAAUAAUCAAAAUCAUAAAUUGUAAAAAGAGAUUUUCAAUUCUUUGACUGAAAGAGACUAUGCAUUACUAUCAACAACGAUAAGAAGAAUGCAACAAUACUUCAACCAUGAAAGAUUUUGGAUGACACUGCAUUCAUUAUAUUUACAUUGUAAAGAAACCAUAAGCAGUUCUAUUCUACAAAUAGAAUCGAAGAUAGAAUGCAUCCUUGUUAUUACAAAUAAGAAAUUCAUUCUAAUCUGUAAUUUUCAACAUGUACUAAAUUUAUCAAUGUACUUUUUAUUGAGAACUUGAAAACAUUACUAGGAAUUGACUGACACCAAAAAAUUGUAUAUAUUUAUAGAAAGUAAUGUAAUAAUCUCUAGAAAGAGAUUCCAUAUGAAUUAUUUUGCAAAUAAAAUGCAGCUGCAGUGUCAAGUGUCAA